RNAcentral lists this long non-coding RNA (1642 nucleotides) under Marmota monax (woodchuck). Lineage: Eukaryota; Metazoa; Chordata; Mammalia; Rodentia; Sciuridae. The record is from RNAcentral.
CAGUCCCACCCCACUCCCUCCUUUCCUCAUCCUGCAGGGUCAAGAGGGGCUGAGCAACAUCAGAAUCACUUCAUCCUUUGAGUGACAACCGAAUCCAACCUUGCCAGCCAGUGCACAGAGGAGGAGACUGAGACCUGGAAAAGGUGCGGGAGAGGCCAUCGAUUUCAACACCACCAGGGGCUCAGGACAGAGGGAGACGCCCAGGGUCCAGUUCAGAAGCCGUGUUGUACCUCAGCGCUCAGGCUGAUGUUGGCCACUUCUCUGACCACCGAUCUGCCACCGCCCUGUCUGCCACAGAGGGCAGCGAGCAGGGCAGGCUCUCCAACUGAGGUCAGGGGCUUUCUGUGGUGGGUCCCCUGGAGAUGCACACGUAAGGCCUCUAGUGCAGUUUCCGAGGUUUCAACCUUGCAUGUAACAGGAAGAGUCUCCAAGGUGACCGCCAGUCGUGAUCCCUCCUCCUGGUAUCAUGCCUUGUUCUGUCCUUUCCUAUUCUGUGCAGGGUUGGUCAGUAUGACCCAAUCGGGGAACUGAAGGCGUGUCACUUCUGAGAUUUGUUUAUAAAACAAAUCUUGGACCCUCACAGAUGGUGGGAUAAUAGAUGUUUCUUGCCUUCACCGUGAAGUGCUGGGGUCCUUUGUUACACAGUGAGAGGUAACUAUUGCACUGACUCAAGCAGAAGAGGAACCAGGGGAAGGGUUCUGAAAGGCUGGAGAGGCAGGUGCUGGGGGCACCCAGCCAAGAUCAUACCUGAGAACGGGGUAUGAGAGGACACUGCUCCCAGCUCUGACCAGCAGGCCCCCCAGCACCCAGCCCUGCUCCAUGACCCCCAACUCUGUGGGACCAACCUCCAUCAAUGCCCCUGAGGGUUCACUGCCAGGCGCGCACUCCCCAGGAAGGACUUGCCCUGGCCACUCUUCCCAGGGUCUUUGCCUCCCCUCCCCCGCCCAGGACCUCAUCUUGUCUCCCACAGGCCAUGGCUCCUUAGGGAGGACCGUCCAGUUCCCUGCUAUGCCCCACCGGAGGGACUAAUAGGGAUAUUUUUUCCGGCAGGGAAAGGGUAGCCAGGGAAGGGUAGGAGAUGGUGGUUUACGCCUCCCGGGGAGCUGGCAGGAGAGAGGUGGGAUGAUUGUCAGCAAAGCAAAAAAAUAGCCACUAUGAACUGGCCCCAGGGCAUUUUGAUCUUAGCCAUUGCUGACAGCUGGGUGAGCAACCACUUGGUCCUAAGCCAGUCCCUCCUUCCUUCCAAGAGAGGGAUCCCUCAGCUGUUGGGCAAGUGGACAAGACCAGAGCGGAACCAUGCCUGGCUUAACGCGAGGCCACUGGAAUCCAGGUCCCCUCAACAACUCUUUUAAAUGUGGAUUUAUUUGAAGGAUUUAUUUCUUGCCAUUAAAAGGGGGGACGUCAUUAAUAAAAGGCAGCAAAACCAAGGCUGAGCCAGUAGGAUUAGAAGCGGGACAGCAGGAAUGAGAAGGAAGCAACUGCCAAAGUUGUUGGAAACCAGGGUGGAAUUUGGCUCUGAGCUUCCUGGCAGCCCGUGCAAAGAGGGAAGCCUGAUCAGCUACAGAGCUCCUCUUAUUAGCAAGAAAGAUGCUUGCCGCUUUCUCUGGGGAGACGUAGUUUAUUUCAGUUUUAGUGUUUUUCC